Molecule: long non-coding RNA, 1339 nt
Organism: Notothenia coriiceps (black rockcod)
Lineage: Eukaryota; Metazoa; Chordata; Actinopteri; Perciformes; Nototheniidae
Exons: 4
Source: RefSeq, a predicted model, not a curated record
UUUAACUCAGUUAGAAAAUAAGUCUUAUUUUGUCAAGGAAAUAAAACAAUCUACAAUAAAUACGUAAAAAUAUCUAUUGAAACUUACACUGUCGAACUGUAAAUUCCAGUUACAUCAUUUCCAACUAGAGCUUGAGCGGAUUAAAUGUUUUGAGCUUUGUUGCAUGUUACUUCGUUAGUUUGGUGGGAGCAACACAAAUAACUAAACAUGUGUUAAUGAACAAAAGUAUUAUAUUUAGCAAUGUUUUGGCCCCAUUUGGUGAGAAGGAAAUGAGUAGAAUGUCCAUUACCUGACCGCAUACCGCUAACAGCUAACUUCAUGCUAAAUAGACAGCUCUUUCUCGCUAAGCAGUUUGUUCUCAUUAAGUCCAAGUCCAUUCAAGUCUAACAUAUGUAAAUGUAGUUGUGAGGACAAUACAUAAGGCAUAUUACACUUGCAACAAACAAUGGUUUUGCAUUUGCCACAACAUAUUAAGUCAGUCCAAAUAACAGCUUCAUAGAGCCUUUUUUUUGGUGCUAGCGAGGUUAGCUACGUACUUAUUUGUUUACUACACUAAAAACAAAAAUAUAUUUUGUAGCCAUAUUGUUGGUUAUAGAAAUCCUUCAUAAUUAAUCCUGAAUCAUUUCCAUCUGGAAGUCAAGCUUAGUGAUUCUACCUUUUUAUUUUAUCCCAGAGAAACCAUCAGCUAAAAUAAUAGGCAGAUAAGGAAAUAAUACUACAUUUGUGCCCUAUUCUUCCAAUGUUAGCUCUCUCAGUCAUGAAUAAAAUGUGUGUACGUGAAGAAAAUUAAUUUAAGGGCCUCCAUCCUACACUCUUCGACAGAAGUCAGGGUCAAUGGAUGCUCGCCUCGUUUCUUUUCACCUCCACAUCUUUUACAGCACACUGGUUCUGCCGGAAACAUCCUUUGUACUGAACUGAGCGAGUGCCAAGGCUGGGAACAAAGCAGUGUGUUGGGACAACCACGGGCAGGUGGGGCUCCACCCUCAGCAGGCGGUGCAGCUCAGCUUUAGCCAGCGGGAGGCGGGUCCUGUCGGAGGAGUCCACCACGUACACCAGAACACCUUUAUCUGGAUUCAGUCAGAGAAACGUGGGUCCCUGUGCACUGUGCAGCUCCUGAUGCGUAGAUGAAAAAAAGAUUGUCGUCGCCCACGAUCUCUGUGUUCAGAUCAUGAAUAAAUCAGCCGCUGAGCGUGACACAUUCCUCCAAACUCAUCCACGGAAACUCAUUGUGAGACCGCUGCAGCCCAGAGUCCCGCACUCAGACAACCUCAAUGAGGAACCAAGUGAUUUAUGUUUAGUGAAGCGCUGUGGCUUCAGUGGGAUGCUAAUUAGCAGGAUU